This is a long non-coding RNA of Patiria miniata (bat star), 433 nucleotides long. RefSeq lists it as uncharacterized. The transcript is spliced from 3 exons. The record is from RefSeq and is a predicted model, not a curated record. NCBI's taxonomy places the organism in Eukaryota, Metazoa, Echinodermata, Asteroidea, Valvatida, Asterinidae.
GGUGCUUCACAGGGAUGGAACAGACUCGAAGUACUGCAAAGUUGUUAACUUGUUGAAUGCCUUGAACACGCUGUUCGACGCCAUCAUUUCCAACUAUGACGUCUAAAAGGGGGUCUACAAUUCACGAUCGCCAGCAAACCUUCAUGUGGGCUUGAUUAUCUUCUGUUGUUGGUUGAGCCAAUGUCAUGACGGUGGUGCAGGGGGAAGUCAACCAACUCUCCCAAUGCAAGUAGUUAACAAUGAAAUGUCAGUGUUUGCCUCACUGGAAACAAAUGUUGCAACCUGAUGGCUGAUGCCCUUUCUGCGAUAGUGUGUGUGGGUGUGUGUGGGUGUGUGUGUAUAAAGUCUAUGGACAUGAAUGAGAGUCAAGCAAAAUUGCUGAGUUAUUUUUCCUAACACAAUUGGGAAUGUUUCUCAGUGCAUGCAGUCCCAG